RNAcentral lists this ribosomal RNA (504 nucleotides) under uncultured bacterium. Its description in RNAcentral is "partial 16S ribosomal RNA". It matches the Rfam family "Bacterial small subunit ribosomal RNA", at positions 28 to 523 of the family's 1533-position model. The record is from RNAcentral.
GUUGAACGCUGGCGGCAGGCCUAACACAUGCAAGUCGAGCGGUAACACAGAGAGCUUGCUCUCGGGUCACGAGCGGCGGACGGGUGAGUAAUGUCUGGGAAACUGCCGGAUGGAGGGGGAUAACUACUGGAAACGGUAGCUAAUACCGCAUAACGUCGCAAGACCCAAGAGGGGGACAUUCUGGCCUCUUGCCAUCAGAUGUGCCCAGAUGGGAUUAGCUAGUAGGUGGGGUAACGGCUCACCUAGGCGACGAUCCCUAGCUGGUCUGAGAGGAUGACCAGACACACUGGAACUGAGACACGGUCCAGACUCCUACGGGAGGGAGCAGUGGGGAAUAUUGCACAGUGGGCGCAAGCCUGAUGCAGCCAUGCCGCGUGUAUGAAGAAGGCCUUCGGGUUGUAAAGUACUUUCAGCGGGGAGGAAGGUGUUGAGGUUAAUAACCUCAGCAAUUGACGUUACCCGCAGAAGAAGCACCGGCUAACUCCGUGCCAGCAGCCGCCGUAA